RNAcentral lists this transfer RNA (66 nucleotides) under Sclomina erinacea. RNAcentral's name for it is "tRNA-Leu". Lineage: Eukaryota; Metazoa; Arthropoda; Insecta; Hemiptera; Reduviidae. The record is from RNAcentral.
CUUAAUGUGGCAGAUUAGUGCAAUGAACUUAAACUUCAUGUAUAAAGAAUAACUCUUUCAUUAAGA